RNAcentral lists this ribosomal RNA (1042 nucleotides) under Anomobryum julaceum. RNAcentral describes it as "eukaryotic LSU rRNA". It matches the Rfam family "Eukaryotic large subunit ribosomal RNA", at positions 84 to 1125 of the family's 3401-position model. The record is from RNAcentral. Lineage: Eukaryota; Viridiplantae; Streptophyta; Bryopsida; Bryales; Bryaceae.
UAACGGCGAGCGAACCGGAAAGAGCCCAGCUUGAAAAUCGGGGCGUCUUGGCGCCCCGAAUUGUAGUCUGGAGAAGGUCCCUCUGCGACGCGCCGGACCCAAGUUCCCUGGAAAGGGACGUCGGAGAGGGUGACAACCCCGUCGAGUCCGGAGUUCGUCGCUCCACGAGGACCUGUCUGCGAGUCGGACUGUUUGGGAAUGCAGUCCUAAGUGGGAGGUAAAUUCCUUCCAAGGCUAAAUAUUGGCAGGAGACCGAUAGCGAACAAGUACCGCGAGGGAAAGAUGAAAAGGACUUUGAAAAGAGAGUUAAAAGUGCUUGAAAUUGCUGGGAGGGAAGCGAAUGGAAGCUGCGGGUGCACCCCGGUUGGAUGUGGAACGGCUUUGCGCUGGUCCGCCGCUCAACGCGGGGUGCUGGUCAGCGUGGGCUGCCGCGGCGGGACAAGUGCGGGGAAUCGAUUUCCGCCCAUGCCGUUGCGGCGGCCGAGGAACGAAGCGCGCGCCUUGCGAAAGGCGUGGUCUCGGCCAACUGCGCGCUCGGGACGCUGGCGUAUUGAGCUCUUCAUCCGACCCGUCUUGAAACACGGACCAAGGAGUCUAACAUGUAUGCGAGCCGGUGGGCGGCAAACCCAUUGAGGCGCAAGGAACCUGACAGGUGGGAGCCCGUUGAGGGCGCACCAUCGACCGACCGUGAUCUUCUGUGAAAGGUUUGAGUGUGAGCACACAUGUUGGGACCCGAAAGAUGGUGAACUAUGCCUGAGCAGGGCGAAGCCAGAGGAAACUCUGGUGGAGGCUCGUAGCGAUACUGACGUGCAAAUCGUUCGUCAGACUUGGGUAUAGGGGCGAAAGACUAAUCGAACCAUCUAGUAGCUGGUUCCCUCCGAAGUUUCCCUCAGGAUAGCUGGAGCUCGUGUACAAGUUUUAUCAGGUAAAGCGAAUGAUUAGAGGCAUCGGGGGUGUAACACCCUCGACCUAUUCUCAAACUUUAAAUAGGUAAGCCGCCGGGGUUGCUUGGUUGAACCCCGGCACAGAAUGAGAGUCCCAA